RNAcentral lists this small RNA (139 nucleotides) under Bacillus sp. (in: firmicutes). RNAcentral describes it as "Bacillus sp. c-di-AMP sequence". It matches the Rfam family "c-di-AMP riboswitch aptamer (ydaO/yuaA leader)". From Rfam's summary of the family: This family represents a conserved RNA structure found upstream of the ydaO and yuaA genes in Bacillus subtilis and related genes in other bacteria. The ydaO/yuaA element is thought to act as a genetic "off" switch for the ydaO and yuaA genes in its native state. Lineage: Bacteria; Bacillati; Bacillota; Bacilli; Caryophanales; Bacillaceae. The record is from RNAcentral. RNAcentral also lists the same sequence under 1 other name.
AUUUCUAAAUCGCCGAAACCAUAGAGUGCGGGGGAACCAUCUGGGUUGAAAAAUCCAAGGGGUGAAUCCUUUUGUAAAGGUAGGGCUACUCAUGGCCCGAAUCCGACAGCUAACCUCGUAAGCGUUAUAGAGAAGGAAG